CGCACAAUUGGUCAUCGCG
Molecule: small nuclear RNA, 19 nt
Filed under: Arabidopsis thaliana (thale cress)
Lineage: Eukaryota; Viridiplantae; Streptophyta; Magnoliopsida; Brassicales; Brassicaceae
Description: snRNA_05056
Source: RNAcentral